GGAUGAGCCCGCACUUGAUUAGUUUGUUGGUGGGGUAAUGGCCUACCAAGACUGUGAUCAAUAGCUGAUUUGAGAGGAUGAUCAGCCACAUUGGGACUGAGACACGGCCCAAACUCCUACGGGAGGCAGCAGUGGGGAAUCUUGCACAAUGGAGGAAACUCUGAUGCAGCGAUGCCGCGUGAGUGAAGAAGGCCCUUGGGUUGUAAAGCUCUUUCGUCGGGGAAGAAAAUGACUGUACCCGAAUAAGAAGGUCCGGCUAACUUCGUGCCAGCAGCCGCGGUAAUACGAAGGGACCUAGCGUAGUUCGGAAUUACUGGGCUUAAAGAGUUCGUAGGUGGUUGAAAAAGUUAGUGGUGAAAUCCCAGAGCUUAACUCUGGAACUGCCAUUAAAACUUUUCAGCUAGAGUAUGAUAGAGGAAAGCAGAAUUUCUAGUGUAGAGGUGAAAUUCGUAGAUAUUAGAAAGAAUACCAAUUGCGAAGGCAGCUUUCUGGAUCAUUACUGACACUGAGGAACGAAAGCAUGGGUAGCGAAGAGGAUUAGAUACCCUCGUAGUCCAUGCCGUAAACGAUGUGUGUUAGACGUUGGAAAUUUAUUUUCAGUGUCGCAGCGAAAGCGAUAAACACACCGCCUGGGGAGUACGACCGCAAGGUUAAAACUCAAAUGAAUUGACGGCGACCCGCACAAGUAGUGGAGCAUGUGGUUUAAUUCGAAGAUACGCGCAGAACCUUACCAACACUUGACAUGUUCGUCGCGACUCUAAGAGAUUAGAGUUUUCGGUUCGGCCGGACGAAACACAGGUGCUGCAUGGCUGUCGUCAGCUCGUGUCGUGAGAUGUUGGGUUAAGUCCCGCAACGAGCGCAACCCUCACUUUUAGUUGCCAUCAUUAAGUUGGGCACUCUGAAAGAACUGCCAGUGAUAAGCUGGAGGAAGGUGGGGAUGACGUCAAGUCCUCAUGGCCCUUACGUGUUGGGCUACACACGUGCUACAAUGGUAUCUACAACAGGAAGCAAGACUGCGAGGUCAAGCAAAUCCUUAAAAGAUACCUCAGUUCGGAUUGCACUCUGCAACUCGAGUGCAUGAAGCUGGAAUUACUAGUAAUCGUGGAUCAGCGUGCCACGGUGAAUGCGUUCCCGGGUCUUGUACACACCGCCCGUCACACCAUGGGAGUUGGUUCUACCUUAAGGCAAGGUUUCAAACCCUUGACCACGGUAUAGUCAGCGACUGGGGUGAAGUCGUAACAAGGUAGCCGUAGGGGAACCUGCGGCUG
This 1268-nucleotide ribosomal RNA is filed under the name marine metagenome. RNAcentral's name for it is "bacterial SSU rRNA". It matches the Rfam family "Bacterial small subunit ribosomal RNA", at positions 223 to 1520 of the family's 1533-position model. The record is from RNAcentral.